AUUGAACGCUGGCGGCAGGCCUAACACAUGCAAGUCGAGCGAGCGGCGGAAGGGUGAGUAAUGUAUGGGGACUGCCCGAUAGAGGGGGAUAACUACUGGAAACGGUGGCUAAUACCGCAUAAUGUCGGAUAACCCAUAUGGGAUUCGCUAGGCGGUAAGGUAAUGGCUUACCUAGGCGACGAUCACUAGCUGGUCUGAGAGGAUGAUCCACCACACUGUGACUGAGACACUGCCCAGACGCCUACGGAGGCAGCAGUGGGAAAUAUUGCACAAUGGGCGCAAGCCUGAUGCAGCCAUGCCGCGUGUAUGAAGAAGGCCCUAGGGUUGUAAAGUACUUUCAGUCGGGAGGCGUUACCGACAGAAGAAGCACCGGCUAACUCCGUGCCAGCAGCCGCGGUAAUUC
Molecule: ribosomal RNA, 403 nt
Filed under: uncultured bacterium
Lineage: Bacteria
Description: partial 16S ribosomal RNA
Rfam family: Bacterial small subunit ribosomal RNA
Source: RNAcentral